GUCCAGCCGAUGAGUUCGAAAUAGGAUGAAACGCACGUCCUGAAU
Molecule: non-coding RNA, 45 nt
Organism: Schistosoma mansoni
Lineage: Eukaryota; Metazoa; Platyhelminthes; Trematoda; Strigeidida; Schistosomatidae
Source: Rfam